CAGUAGCCGCGGUAAUACGAAGGGUGCAAGCGUUAAUCGGAAUUACUGGGCGUAAAGCGUGCGUAGGCGGUGAGUUAAGUCUGCUGUGAAAUCCCCGGGCUCAACCUGGGAAUGGCAGUGGAUACUGGCUUGCUAGAGUGUGUCAGAGGAUGGUGGAAUUCCCGGUGUAGCGGUGAAAUGCGUAGAGAUCGGGAGGAACAUCAGUGGCGAAGGCGGCCAUCUGGGACAACACUGACGCUGAGGCACGAAAGCGUGGGGAGCAAACAGGAUUAGAUACCCCCGUAGUCCCUGUCUCUUAUAC
Molecule: ribosomal RNA, 301 nt
Filed under: uncultured bacterium
Lineage: Bacteria
Description: partial 16S ribosomal RNA
Rfam family: Bacterial small subunit ribosomal RNA
Source: RNAcentral